UUGGGCGGAUCGAACGUGGGUCGACAGAAAUAUCUCCCUCGUCACCCCCUUUCUCUCCCUCGUCUCAUCCCAUCCCGAUCCUCUUCUCCAUGCCGCCGCCGCCGCUUCCCCCCUCCCUCUCAGCCGCCUGUCUCCCCCACCUCCACCACCUCCUCCUCUCCUGCCUCCUCAUCCAACCAGCACAGCCAGACCAGCGUUGUGGAUGAGGAGGCGACAGAUCGGGAGGCGGGCAAGAGGAACCAGGCGGUUCUCCUUCCAUGGCCGGGCCUCGACCUGCCGCAUCUUCUUCCUCCCAGUCCGGGGGAGAGGAGUGGUGGAUCCGCCUCCUCAAGCGAGCAUGGGCGCACGGGGAUUCGAUUCAGGGAUCUCCUUGCGAGAGGCCGCCACCGUACUGACUCCAACCUGCAACCUGUUCCAACUCAGAAAGUGACAGUUAAAGAAGAACCAGAUGCCACUGAAGAUGCCAAUGUCCUAGCACUGCCAUAAGCAUCGCAAACCACUCGAGUACCUUCAUUCCCCGCGUAGAACUGUUCAAGAAAAGCACAUGUCAAACCAACAGCGCGGAGGAGCCGGCUUCCCGUGUCAGAGUUGUGUGUAAUUGCGGGCUACUUCACCAUCAUCAGCCCAUUGGCAGUAUUGUAGGGAUGGACAUAUGGAUUGAGUGGUACCCUCCUGAAAGAUACACAUCUCAGCAGCCAAGAACUUCAAUAAAAAUGGAAGAGGUAUGAAAUUCUCAACUUAGGAAGGAACAUCCAACCUGUAAUGUGUCGAUCACUAACUAAUAAACAUGAAUAUGAUGUUGGAAAGAAGCAAUUGGAUAUCAAAGCAAAAGGAUCACGGCUCCUCUUACAAAUCAGUGAAGUAUUCUAAUUCUGGCGAUCUAAGCGUCGGUCCAGGCGGCGCUCCCUCGGCUACGCCUGGGUGUUCGAGCUGUCAGUGUGGUACAGGAGCAUCAGCCACCACCGCUGCCAAGGAGCUCCAGCAACCACAUGAUCACUCUUGCUUCACAGACUAUGUAUGGUCAGUUCAGAAAAUUGGAGGUUUUAGGAUCUUUGGAAGUUCUUUGAGGCAUCACCCUUCUUCUCCGCAGUUGAAAGGCCUUGAGCAGCUAAGAUAACUCAAAUGUGUACGCUCAUUCAAAGAACAUGGUUCAGGCCUUAACCAUGUAUGUUUGACGCAGUACAGCGUGGGGGAGGCGGUGUCCUCUGCAGCAAGGUCUACUUGCUGGCGACCUCACCAUCACCAACCCAUCUGCAGAUGAAGAUAGAAAAUAUUUGUUAUAUUCUUAUCCAAUUAGUUCACACCAUUGUUGUGAGCAACAGAAGAUUCAGAACUUUCAAGCUCCUUUUUUUCUUGCUAGCCAUGAAGGUGAUACUUUAGUAAAAGAUGGUCUGAAAACCAAGAUAUGCCAGAGAUAAUAACUAUAGUGGCUGCUCCAGAUGGACUAAGAAUGGGACCAUAUCCUAGGCCUACAUGCUAAUAUUGUACACCAAUGAAUGCUUCACUUAUUUAUACUUAAUCAGAUGUGUAAUGAUAAACGCGAUAUUAGCUUUUGUACCCAUCUUCAUGGUUGAAAUACUUUUCUGCAACCCGUGACACAUUUGCUUCAGUUUCCAUAUGUCUUGCUUCAUGCUAUCAACAUUGUUAACCGUUUAUCUUUAUCUUUCUUUCCCUUUACAGCCUACUUGAAUGGAUAUGGUUCUUAAGAGGUCAUUUCUUAUGCAUCAGGUCCUGAAGGUGGAUGUUGCUUGUUUAGAUAUCUAUGAUUCCAAAUUAUUCAAAACGGUUCAUGUCAUACUGGAUGCUAUUUUAUUGAGAGUGGCUUCGAACAAUAUGGCAUGAACAUAUUUGUUUUCUCUUUGGCCAACAUAUUUGUUUCUCUUUGGCCAAUAAUGAAAUGAUCUUUGUGCACAUAAAAUGGCCAUCGAUACAAUAAUUCUUGGUUUUAUUUAGCUUCUUGCGCUAACCGGUUUGAUACAUUCUACUAUCUGUAAUACAAUCCACAUUGCAUCAUCUUUCAAUU
Molecule: RNA transcript, 2023 nt
Organism: Triticum aestivum (bread wheat)
Lineage: Eukaryota; Viridiplantae; Streptophyta; Magnoliopsida; Poales; Poaceae
Exons: 11
Source: RefSeq, a predicted model, not a curated record